UGGAGUCUGCAACUCGACUCCAUGAAGUCGGAAUCGCUAGUAAUCGUGGAUCAGAAUGCCACGGUGAAUACGUUCCCGGGCCUUGUACACACCGCCCGUCACACCAUGGGAGUGGGCUGCAAAAGAAGUGGGUAGUUUAACCUUCGGGAGGACGCUCACCACUUUGUGGUUCAUGACUGGGGUGAAGUCGUAACAAGGUAGCGCUAGGGGAACCUGGCGCUGGAUCACCUCCUUAUACGAUGAU
This 244-nucleotide ribosomal RNA is filed under the name Vibrio sp. 03_296. RNAcentral's name for it is "partial 16S ribosomal RNA". It matches the Rfam family "Bacterial small subunit ribosomal RNA", at positions 1299 to 1533 of the family's 1533-position model. Lineage: Bacteria; Pseudomonadati; Pseudomonadota; Gammaproteobacteria; Vibrionales; Vibrionaceae. The record is from RNAcentral.